Molecule: ribosomal RNA, 492 nt
Filed under: uncultured bacterium
Lineage: Bacteria
Description: partial 16S ribosomal RNA
Rfam family: Bacterial small subunit ribosomal RNA
Source: RNAcentral
AGUGAACGCUGGCGGUAGGCCUAACACAUGCAAGUCGAACGGCAGCACAGUAAGAGCUUGCUCUUACGGGUGGCGAGUGGCGGACGGGUGAGGAAUACAUCGGAAUCUACUUUUUCGUGGGGGAUAACGUAGGGAAACUUACGCUAAUACCGCAUACGACCUACGGGUGAAAGCAGGGGAUCUUCGGACCUUGCGCGAUUGAAUGAGCCGAUGUCGGAUUAGCUAGUUGGCGGGGUAAAGGCCCACCAAGGCGACGAUCCGUAGCUGGUCUGAGAGGAUGAUCAGCCACACUGGAACUGAGACACGGUCCAGACUCCUACGGGAGGCAGCAGUGGGGAAUAUUGGACAAUGGGCGCAAGCCUGGUCCAGCCAUACCGCGUGGGUGAAGAAGGCCUUCGGGUCGUAAAGCCCUUUUGUUGGGAAAGAAAAGCAGCAGGUUAAUACCCCGCUGUUCUGACGGUACCCAAAGAAUAAGCACCGGCUAACUUCGUG